GUUUCUAUAGUGUAGUGGUUAUUCACAUUUGCCUCACACGUGAAAGGUCCCUGGUUCAAGACCGGGUGGAAACA
Syngnathoides biaculeatus (alligator pipefish) is the source of this 74-nucleotide non-coding RNA. Lineage: Eukaryota; Metazoa; Chordata; Actinopteri; Syngnathiformes; Syngnathidae. The record is from the annotation of a RefSeq genome assembly.